Molecule: ribosomal RNA, 347 nt
Filed under: uncultured Glomeromycotina
Lineage: Eukaryota; Fungi; Glomeromycota
Description: SSU rRNA
Rfam family: Eukaryotic small subunit ribosomal RNA
Source: RNAcentral
AGCAGCCGCGGUAAUUCCAGCUCCAAUAGCGUAUAUUAAAGUUGUUGCAGUUAAAAAGCUCGUAGUUGAAUUUCGGGGUCAGUAGGUCGGUCGUGCCACUGGUAUGAACUGGUUUUACUGAUUCCUCCCUCUUGAAGAACUGUAAUGCCAUUAAUUUGGUGUUGCAGGGAAUCAGGACUGUUACUUUGAAAAAAUUGAGUGUUUAAAGCAGGCUUUAGCUUGAAUACAUUAGCAUGGAAUAAUGAAAUAGGACGUUUGAUCCUAUUUUGUUGGUUUCUAGGAUUGACGUAAUGAUUAAUAGGGAUAGUUGGGGGCAUUAGUAUUCAAUUGUCAGGAGGUGAAAUUCU